GCGGGUGUAGCUCAGUUGGUUAGAGCGCCGGCCUGUCACGCCGGAGGUCG
This 50-nucleotide transfer RNA is filed under the name Sphingomonas sp. Leaf33. RNAcentral's name for it is "tRNA-Asp". It matches the Rfam family "tRNA", at positions 1 to 47 of the family's 71-position model. From Rfam's summary of the family: Transfer RNA (tRNA) molecules are approximately 80 nucleotides in length. The record is from RNAcentral. Lineage: Bacteria; Pseudomonadati; Pseudomonadota; Alphaproteobacteria; Sphingomonadales; Sphingomonadaceae.